Long non-coding RNA from Cornus florida, 2646 nucleotides. RefSeq lists it as uncharacterized. The transcript has 3 exons. NCBI's taxonomy places the organism in Eukaryota, Viridiplantae, Streptophyta, Magnoliopsida, Cornales, Cornaceae. The record is from RefSeq and is a predicted model, not a curated record.
UUUUUAAUUUUCCAUUUAUUUUUUCUAACCUUAUCUCAUCCGAUCCCUAGGUUUCUCUUCAGCCUCCCAUUCGCCAGAUCUCUAUUCUCGGUCUCAACUCUGAACUUGCCCCCUCUUCUUCUCUCUGCAACUCCCCAAUCGCCUCCAUCACUAUUCUCGUUCUCAACCUAUUGCACCACAGCCACCACCAUCACUCCACCCCAUAUCCUCACACCACCACUGAAGCCAAUCCCUCUCUCUUUGUUCGAGCUCUCUGCUAUGGGUUUUUCGGUGAGAUCUCUGGCCAAACCUCGGCCUCUCGCUCUCGAUCUCAUCUCUUCUCCAUUGGCUUCUUCUCCGGCCGACCCUCAGCCAAGGAGAUAACAUUCUCAUCUCGCCGCUAUCCACUGCUGCAAUUUUCGGUCAUCUUCUCCGGCGAAUCUCAAGCCGUCAUCUCAUCAUUCUCGGGUUGGUCUCUCUCUCGGAUUUUUUCUUUUCAUUCCUUUACUCUUCUCUCUAUCUUUCGGUGAGAGAGAGUUACACAUUUGAGGGGAAUUGAACUACAAAUCAAAACCAUGAUGAUCUCUUUUAUAUGAACAGAGAAGUAUGUUCUUUUUGUCAACAACAAAUUCUUGCCUGGAACUAUUUAAUAUAUUAUAUAUAUAUCUUGAUUCCAUUCCAUGUCUUUGAUGCACAAAUUAGAAACAACUUUUUAUGCUAAAGGACUUGAAGUUUACAUUAUUCAUGAAUGCACGCUACCCUAUUUCAGGCCUUGCUUCAGGCUGUUUUUUUUUUUUUUUUUUUGGGAAAGUGCUUCAGGCUAUUUUUGUUUAUAUAUCAAUUAUGCAUAUCAUAUGUUUAACCCUCAGAAGUUAGAACUGAUGCAAUAAAUAGUUAUAUACUUACACCAUGUCAUAUACCAGUAUUAGUUUUAAACACAGAUAAAACUCAAAAUCUUUUGAAGUUAUUAUUUAUUAAAUAAAAACCAACAUGGUGUAAAUACCAUGUUUUUUUACAAUCUUCCAAAAAAAAUUUAGGAAUAAUUUGUUGUUCUUGUUGGUUUUAGUUAGUGAAGUUAAUGAGGAUAUAUCAUUUUUACUUGAUAAAUGCGAGCUACGUCUUUGUUCCACAAUGUUGCACACUCCGGCCCCCCCUUACAUUGAAUCCUGGCUCCGCCCCUGUUGGUCGAUCUCUUUUUGCAAUUCAGUUCAAUUUAUGAUUAUGCUAUUUAUAUGUUUUUCUGUUGUUCAAUGAAUUUCCGCAUCAUUUAUGAAUAAACCUAAAGCACGGCAGUAGGAAAGAACCAACCACGAUAACCUAUUAAUGCAUUUUUGCGACGUAUGUUUUAGUAAAGAUUGUAUUUCAGAUGAAGGUUCAUGUUUUACUCUUUAAUACAAAUUGUUCAGCAAACACCUCAGUGAAUGCUAUAGCUUUCCUCGCCAGGCUAGAAAGAGUUUUGAGUAUAUAAACAUCAUGCUACCUGCAGACACUGUGUGUGUGUGUGAGAGAGAGAGAGAGAGAGAGAUUUAGUGGGAUGAAUGGAUAAGGUUUUAGACAUUGGGCUAAGACUUGCAAGCCAGUAGGUACCACUGUGUGAGAAACUAUAAUAGUUCCUUGUUGGACUCUAUUUCAUAGGAAUGUCAACAUAAAUCAAUCGGUUUUUAUAUCAUUACUCAAUUUCUUUUGGUGUUGCAUUUUACCGGAACAUGUUUGACAUCUAUAAAACAUUUUAGAAAACCCAGGUUAGAUUUCCAAAGUUGAAAUUAGAUGAACCCCAAGUUCUCUACUAGAACUUGCCUUGUUUGUCUACUAUAACCUGGUAAGAGAUAUCAACUCAAAUCCUAAUGAAAAAAAAUGGAGUAGAGUAGAAAUGAGGUUUGCAAUGUUAGAGUGAAAAAUUUGCAAUUAUUUUAUGGUAAAUAUCUCUCCCUAAAUGUCCUAGAAGAUUAUUUAUUUAUUUUCUUAUAUUACUUUUAUUUAAAAAGUAAAAAUAUGUAUAUUCAAAACAAAUUAAUAUUAGACCUGUUAUCCUAUUAAUAACAUAAAGAUAGUUUAUAUAAAAAUAAUAAUAUAACCUUGUAACCUUCUUAAUUUAUAACCUUGUAACCAAGUUCUUAAUUUAGCUAAAUCUGCAAGUUCUUAAUUUACUCUUUUAUUUAUAGCUUGAUGACGCAUAUGGUUUGGAUGAAUUCUGUGUCUUUUUCAAUAUCUUGAACUUCUGAUUAUUCCUUGCUUAUAAAAAUUGUCAUCUUCAACGGUUAAUAAAUUUUUUUGUUGGUUUGUUGUUUCUGCGCCUGCUGGAGUAACUUGGGGCACAAGUUCUCUACACAAUCUUCACUACCUUUUGCUUGAUAGCUGUGGUUUUUGUGAAGAGGAAUGUGAUGGAAACAAAAGGAAAAUCACUCCAAGAAAUUGAGAUUGCACUUCUGCCCGUUGAUUAGAGGUGUACAUUGUAAGGGCGAACAGUUCUGAAAAAGAAGUGUUUUUAGAAAAGUUUGAAGAUAAAGUUAAAGCUAGAACAAAGAAAGUUUGAAGAUGGGGUCGUGGUUGUGUUUACUACUUUUGUGAAAAAUUCUUUUCAUUUUGUGUAUAGUUCUUUUGUAAAAACUUGGUGUUCAGUACAACAUUAUAUAUUAGUAGACAUGCAAUUUGGAUGUUAUUUUCGUA